Molecule: transfer RNA, 75 nt
Filed under: Paenibacillus odorifer
Lineage: Bacteria; Bacillati; Bacillota; Bacilli; Caryophanales; Paenibacillaceae
Description: tRNA-Val
Rfam family: tRNA
About the family: Transfer RNA (tRNA) molecules are approximately 80 nucleotides in length.
Source: RNAcentral
GAGGCUUAGCUCAGCUGGGAGAGCAUCUGCCUUACAAGCAGAGGGUCGGGGGUUCGAUCCCCUCAGCCUCCACCA